RNAcentral lists this ribosomal RNA (394 nucleotides) under uncultured bacterium. Its description in RNAcentral is "bacterial SSU rRNA". It matches the Rfam family "Bacterial small subunit ribosomal RNA", at positions 30 to 418 of the family's 1533-position model. The record is from RNAcentral.
AUUGAACGCUGGCGGCAGGCCUAACACAUGCAAGUCGAACGGUAACAGGAAGCAGCUUGCUGCUUCGCUGACGAGUGGCGGACGGGUGAGUAAUGUCUGGGAAGCUGCCUGAUGGAGGGGAUAACUACUGGAAACGGUAGCUAAUACCGCAUAAUGUCGCAAGACCAAAAGAGGGGGACCUUCGGGCCUCUUGCCAUCGGAUGUGCCCAGAUGGGAUUAGCUUGUUGGUGGGGUAACGGCUCACCAAGGCGACGAUCCCUAGCUGGUCUGAGAGGAUGACCAGCCACACUGGAACUGAGACACGGUCCAGACUCCUACGGGAGGCAGCAGUGGGGAAUAUUGCACAAUGGGCGCAAGCCUGAUGCAGCCAUGCCGCGUGUAUGAAGAAGGCCUU